GCAUUUUUUCAUAUGUCUGUAGGCCAUGCGCCUGUCUUCUUCAGAGAAGUUUCUCUUCAAGUCCCUCGCCCAGCCUGCGAUGGGAUCACUUGUUCUUUUCUUGCUUAUACAUUUGAGUUCUCUGUGGAUUCUGGUUAUUAAACCUUUGUUGGAGACAUAACCUGCAAAUAGUGAUGUUUUAAGAUGAAAUUUACUUUAGGGUUUUCUUUCAUUGCUAAUAGAAUAGAUAUGACUUGGCCAAUGAUGCAGACACAAACAUUGGCAGAUACAUGGCUUGAAUUGAAUCCUCCUUAUAAUAUUAAGAAAAUCUGUCUCAUACAGUCUUGUUUGUAUAUUUUUCCUCAGAUAAGAGGAAGGCUCAAUAUAAGUAUGCCUGGAGGAAUGCACCAUUGUACCCUGAUUGGCGGAAAGAAGAGUUCCAGGCUGUCAAUGUGACCUUGGAUGCAGCCACUGCCCAUCCUGUGCUCUUUCUGUCUGAAAAUGGGAAACAAGUAACCUGGCAAGAAAGGGGUCAAGAUCUACCCAGCUUCAAAGAGAGAUUCGACUUGCUUCAUUGUGUGCUGGGUCAGCUGAGAAUCACCUCUGGGAGAUGCUUCUGGGAGGUAGAGGUUGAGGUAACAGGUUCCUGGGACCUGGGAAUUUGUAGGGACAAUGUAACAAGGAAGGGGAAGGUCCCAAUGUCCCCACAGAAUGGAUUCUGGGCCAUCAGGCUCUAUGAGGGGGAGUACUGGGCCCUCACCUCCCCAGAAACUCAGCUUACACUGAGAGAUCACCCCCACAGUGUGGGGAUAUUCCUGGAUUAUGAGGCUGGAGAUGUAUCAUUCUAUAACAUGACAGAUGGAUCCCACAUGUUCACCUUUCCCCAAAGCACAUUCUAUGGUGUUCUGAGACCUCUUUUCAGGCUUUGGUCCUCUGACUCAGGUUCUUUGACCAUUAUCUAGGUAAAGGAGAACUCACUGAGGUUAUAAUUAAUAUGUGUAAACCCUUCCAAGAGUAAUGAUGACAUUGGACCCCAAAGAUGGUUAUAAUUUUACAUAAACUACCAGAAACUGAAUUAUGCUUCCUCCUUACUGGUUGAUUAUCAAGAUGAAGCUCUGAAACAGACUGCUGCUUGCUCCUCAUAUCAGUUCUGUCUUUUCCUUAAUUGUAAAUAUAUUAUUACCUUGACCUAUGACAACCUAGUAUAACAAUUAGCUUCCCCUGCUACAUGUGAAUAAACAGCCAGUGCUUUAUAAACCUGA
This is a long non-coding RNA of Nycticebus coucang (slow loris), 1241 nucleotides long. RefSeq lists it as uncharacterized. The transcript is spliced from 4 exons. The record is from RefSeq and is a predicted model, not a curated record. Lineage: Eukaryota; Metazoa; Chordata; Mammalia; Primates; Lorisidae.